Molecule: ribosomal RNA, 447 nt
Filed under: uncultured bacterium
Lineage: Bacteria
Description: partial 16S ribosomal RNA
Rfam family: Bacterial small subunit ribosomal RNA
Source: RNAcentral
AGCGAACGCUGGCGGCAGGCCUAACACAUGCAAGUCGAACGGUCCUUCGGGAUAGUGGCGGACGGGUGAGUAACACGUGGGAACGUGCCUUUUGGUUCGGAACAACUUGGGGAAACUUAAGCUAAUACCGGAUGUGCCCUUAGGGGGAAAGAUUUAUCGCCAUUAGAGCGGCCCGCGUCUGAUUAGCUAGUUGGUGGGGUAAAGGCCUACCAAGGCGACGAUCAGUAGCUAGUCAGAGAGGAUGAUCAGCCACAUUGGGACUGAGACACGGCCCAAACUCCUACGGGAGGCAGCAGUGGGGAAUCUUGCGCAAUGGGCGAAAGCCUGACGCAGCCAUGCCGCGUGAAUGAUGAAGGUCUUAGGAUUGUAAAAUUCUUUCACCGGGGACGAUAAUGACGGUACCCGGAGAAGAAGCCCCGGCUAACUUCGUGCCAGCCGCCGCCGUAA